AUGUCACAUGAAAAAGUGUCUGCAGACAGUUAUGAAGCCAAAGGGAUAGUGACUGUUUUGUGCAAAACCCAGUUUAGACACCACGAAGGGAAACGUGCCAGAAAAAGAAGCAGAAGGGAAGGAGAUUCUACUUUGAUUUCAGGCAAAUUUGAUUGCUCAAUCUCUGAAGAAGGAGAAAGUAAAAAAAUCAAAAAGAGAAGCAUUUCUUUUGCAAAGCACGAGGGGAAAAAAGAACUUAUCUUAGGAAACAGACUGCAAAUAGGACAUUGUAAGAGCAGAGUUUUGAUGUUAAUGCUAUUAUUCCAUCCAUCAUGUAUCAAAGGAAGACUCCACAUAAGAUGGUGCACCUAUGAAUAAAGAGAGUCAACAUUUCACAAGUGAUAAUAAG
RNAcentral lists this long non-coding RNA (388 nucleotides) under Ovis aries (sheep). RNAcentral describes it as "lncRNA (ENSOARG00000025434.1)". The record is from RNAcentral. Lineage: Eukaryota; Metazoa; Chordata; Mammalia; Artiodactyla; Bovidae.